UGCUGACCUGCACUGACUCCCAAC
RNAcentral lists this non-coding RNA (24 nucleotides) under Mus musculus (house mouse). Lineage: Eukaryota; Metazoa; Chordata; Mammalia; Rodentia; Muridae. The record is from RNAcentral.